CACGUAGUUAGCCGACACUUAUUCCUGGGGUACUGUCCUUGUCUCAUCCCCAGAAAGGGCUUUACAACCCGAAGGCCUUCUUCGCCCACGCGGCGUUGCUGCGUCAGGCUUUCGCCCAUUGCGCAAUAUCCCU
This 133-nucleotide ribosomal RNA is filed under the name uncultured bacterium. RNAcentral describes it as "partial 16S ribosomal RNA". The record is from RNAcentral.